CACAGAAUUUCAAGGGUACAGGUUAGUGUGGUGCCAGUUGGGGUCAGUGGGAGCUCGAGAGACUGACGGGCUGUGUCCAGGAGACCAGGGCCAGGAGAGUCUGGCAGCUCUGAGGAGCGCUGAGCCCAGAGGUGGUGGGGCUGGCAGCCAGUCCCCUCCCUGGUGUGGCCUGGCCACAGGCAGGGCGGCAGCCCUGUGGGGAGUUCCAGAAAGUGAGCCUAGAGCCUCCUCUAUGCCUGGGGGUUUUGGUGUGAGGCCUACAGGGAC
RNAcentral lists this long non-coding RNA (267 nucleotides) under Marmota monax (woodchuck). The record is from RNAcentral. Lineage: Eukaryota; Metazoa; Chordata; Mammalia; Rodentia; Sciuridae.